AAUGGAAUCGACAGGGGAGUAAACUGGUAAGUAAGCAUGCCGGAGUAUGAUGGCUUAUCUCCGUUAACAACUGGCUAUUAACCAAUUCAAAUGGCAAUACUCAGUAUGCCAUGGCAGCCUAGGACUAGGUCUUAGAAUGCCUUUGUGCCGUGCGCUUGACGCCUGAUACACAGUGUGCCGCACAUCAACCAACCCUCAGGCUAGUAUCAUAAAAUGCCCCGGUUAUGAUGCGAAAUUCAGGGGAUAAGGAAUGAAUCGGGAGGGUUUCCAAUCCUGCCUCAUUCUCGAAAAUUCAACUGGAAACUAAGCAUGUAGAAGGCUUAUGAGUGCUUUCGCUGGACGCGAGUUCGACUCAGA
RNAcentral lists this transfer-messenger RNA (357 nucleotides) under Phaeodactylibacter sp. It matches the Rfam family "transfer-messenger RNA". Rfam says of the family: Bacterial tmRNA, also known as 10Sa RNA or SsrA, is named for its dual tRNA and mRNA-like properties. Its role is to liberate the mRNA from a stalled ribosome. To accomplish this part of the tmRNA is used as a reading frame that ends in a translation stop signal. Lineage: Bacteria; Pseudomonadati; Bacteroidota; Saprospiria; Saprospirales; Haliscomenobacteraceae. RNAcentral also lists the same sequence under 1 other name. The record is from RNAcentral.